Molecule: ribosomal RNA, 2160 nt
Filed under: Escherichia coli
Lineage: Bacteria; Pseudomonadati; Pseudomonadota; Gammaproteobacteria; Enterobacterales; Enterobacteriaceae
Description: partial 23S ribosomal RNA
Rfam family: Bacterial large subunit ribosomal RNA
Source: RNAcentral
UGACUUGUGGCUGGGGGUGAAAGGCCAAUCAAACCGGGAGAUAGCUGGUUCUCCCCGAAAGCUAUUUAGGUAGCGCCUCGUGAAUUCAUCUCCGGGGGUAGAGCACUGUUUCGGCAAGGGGGUCAUCCCGACUUACCAACCCGAUGCAAACUGCGAAUACCGGAGAAUGUUAUCACGGGAGACACACGGCGGGUGCUAACGUCCGUCGUGAAGAGGGAAACAACCCAGACCGCCAGCUAAGGUCCCAAAGUCAUGGUUAAGUGGGAAACGAUGUGGGAAGGCCCAGACAGCCAGGAUGUUGGCUUAGAAGCAGCCAUCAUUUAAAGAAAGCGUAAUAGCUCACUGGUCGAGUCGGCCUGCGCGGAAGAUGUAACGGGGCUAAACCAUGCACCGAAGCUGCGGCAGCGACACUGUGUGUUGUUGGGUAGGGGAGCGUUCUGUAAGCCUGUGAAGGUGUGCUGUGAGGCAUGCUGGAGGUAUCAGAAGUGCGAAUGCUGACAUAAGUAACGAUAAAGCGGGUGAAAAGCCCGCUCGCCGGAAGACCAAGGGUUCCUGUCCAACGUUAAUCGGGGCAGGGUGAGUCGACCCCUAAGGCGAGGCCGAAAGGCGUAGUCGAUGGGAAACAGGUUAAUAUUCCUGUACUUGGUGUUACUGCGAAGGGGGGACGGAGAAGGCUAUGUUGGCCGGGCGACGGUUGUCCCGGUUUAAGCGUGUAGGCUGGUUUUCCAGGCAAAUCCGGAAAAUCAAGGCUGAGGCGUGAUGACGAGGCACUACGGUGCUGAAGCAACAAAUGCCCUGCUUCCAGGAAAAGCCUCUAAGCAUCAGGUAACAUCAAAUCGUACCCCAAACCGACACAGGUGGUCAGGUAGAGAAUACCAAGGCGCUUGAGAGAACUCGGGUGAAGGAACUAGGCAAAAUGGUGCCGUAACUUCGGGAGAAGGCACGCUGAUAUGUAGGUGAAGUCCCUCGCGGAUGGAGCUGAAAUCAGUCGAAGAUACCAGCUGGCUGCAACUGUUUAUUAAAAACACAGCACUGUGCAAACACGAAAGUGGACGUAUACGGUGUGACGCCUGCCCGGUGCCGGAAGGUUAAUUGAUGGGGUCAGCGCAAGCGAAGCUCUUGAUCGAAGCCCCGGUAAACGGCGGCCGUAACUAUAACGGUCCUAAGGUAGCGAAAUUCCUUGUCGGGUAAGUUCCGACCUGCACGAAUGGCGUAAUGAUGGCCAGGCUGUCUCCACCCGAGACUCAGUGAAAUUGAACUCGCUGUGAAGAUGCAGUGUACCCGCGGCAAGACGGAAAGACCCCGUGAACCUUUACUAUAGCUUGACACUGAACAUUGAGCCUUGAUGUGUAGGAUAGGUGGGAGGCUUUGAAGUGUGGACGCCAGUCUGCAUGGAGCCGACCUUGAAAUACCACCCUUUAAUGUUUGAUGUUCUAACGUGGACCCGUGAUCCGGGUUGCGGACAGUGUCUGGUGGGUAGUUUGACUGGGGCGGUCUCCUCCUAAAGAGUAACGGAGGAGCACGAAGGUUGGCUAAUCCUGGUCGGACAUCAGGAGGUUAGUGCAAUGGCAUAAGCCAGCUUGACUGCGAGCGUGACGGCGCGAGCAGGUGCGAAAGCAGGUCAUAGUGAUCCGGUGGUUCUGAAUGGAAGGGCCAUCGCUCAACGGAUAAAAGGUACUCCGGGGAUAACAGGCUGAUACCGCCCAAGAGUUCAUAUCGACGGCGGUGUUUGGCACCUCGAUGUCGGCUCAUCACAUCCUGGGGCUGAAGUAGGUCCCAAGGGUAUGGCUGUUCGCCAUUUAAAGUGGUACGCGAGCUGGGUUUAGAACGUCGUGAGACAGUUCGGUCCCUAUCUGCCGUGGGCGCUGGAGAACUGAGGGGGGCUGCUCCUAGUACGAGAGGACCGGAGUGGACGCAUCACUGGUGUUCGGGUUGUCAUGCCAAUGGCACUGCCCGGUAGCUAAAUGCGGAAGAGAUAAGUGCUGAAAGCAUCUAAGCACGAAACUUGCCCCGAGAUGAGUUCUCCCUGACCCUUUAAGGGUCCUGAAGGAACGUUGAAGACGACGACGUUGAUAGGCCGGGUGUGUAAGCGCAGCGAUGCGUUGAGCUAACCGGUACUAAUGAACCGUGAGGCUUAACCUUACAACGCCGAAGGUGUUU